AUUGAACGCUGGCGGCAGGCCUAACACAUGCAAAUCGAGCGGAUGAAGGGAGCUUGCUCCUGGAUUCAGCGGCGGACGGGUGAGUAAUGCCUAGGAAUCUGCCUGGUAGUGGGGGAUAACGUCCGGAAACGGGCGCUAAUACCGCAUACGUCCUGAGGGAGAAAGUGGGGGAUCUUCGGACCUCACGCUAUCAGAUGAGCCCAGGUCGGAUUAGCUAGUUGGUGGGGUAAAGGCCUACCAAGGCGACGAUCCGUAACUGGUCUGAGAGGAUGAUCAGUCACACUGGAACUGAGACACGGUCCAGACUCCUACGGGAGGCAGCAGUGGGGAAUAUUGGACAAUGGGCGAAAGCCUGAUCCAGCCAUGCCGCGUGUGUGAAGAAGGUCUUCGGAUUGUAAAGCACUUUAAGUUGGGAGGAAGGGCAGUAAGUUAAUACCUUGCUGUUUUGACGUUACCAACAGAAUAAGCACCGGCUAACUUCGUG
Molecule: ribosomal RNA, 484 nt
Filed under: uncultured bacterium
Lineage: Bacteria
Description: partial 16S ribosomal RNA
Rfam family: Bacterial small subunit ribosomal RNA
Source: RNAcentral